Molecule: ribosomal RNA, 465 nt
Filed under: uncultured bacterium
Lineage: Bacteria
Description: partial 16S ribosomal RNA
Rfam family: Bacterial small subunit ribosomal RNA
Source: RNAcentral
GACGAACGCUGGCGGCGUGCUUAACACAUGCAAGUCGAACGGAAAGGCCCUGCUUGUAGGGUACUCGAGUGGCGAAAGGGUGUGUAACACGUGGGUGUUCUGCCCUCCACUUUGGGAUAAGCCUGGGAAACAGGGUCUCAUAUAGGAUAGAAGCCAUCCUUAGUGUGAUGGUUGGUUGGAUUUUUCGGUGUAGGAUGAGCUCGCGGGCUAUCAGCUUGUUGGUGGGGUAAUGGCCUACCAAGGAGGCGACGGGGAGCCGGCCUGAGAGGGUGGACGGCCACAUUUGGACUUGGAUACGGCCCAGACUCCUACGGGGAGGAACAGGGGGGAAUAUUGCACAAUGGGGGGAAGGCUGAUGCAGCGACGGCGCGGGGGGGAUGAAGGCCUUCGGGUUGGAAACUCCUUUCGCUAGGGGCGAAGCUGUUUGUGACGGUACCUAGAUAAGAAGCACCGGCUAACUACGUG